CGAAUAAGAAGGUCCGGCUAACUUCGUGCCAGCAGCCGCGGUAAUACGAAGGGACCUAGCGUAGUUCGGAAUUACUGGGCUUAAAGAGUUCGUAGGUGGUUAAAAAAGUUGGUGGUGAAAUCCCAGAGCUUAACUCUGGAACUGCCAUCAAAACUUUUUAGCUAGAGUAUGAUAGAGGAAAGCAGAAUUUCUAGUGUAGAGGUGAAAUUCGUAGAUAUUAGAAAGAAUACCAAUUGCGAAGGCAGCUUUCUGGAUCAUUACUGACACUGAGGAACGAAAGCAUGGGUAGCGAAGAGGAUUAGAUACCCUCGUAGUCCAUGCCGUAAACGAUGUGUGUUAGAUGUUGGAAAUUUAUUUUCAGUAUCGCAGCGAAAGCAAUAAACACACCGCCUGGGGAGUACGACCGCAAGGUUAAAACUCAAAUGAAUUGACGGGGACCCGCACAAGUAGUGGAGCAUGUGGUUUAAUUCGAAGAUACGCGCAGAACCUUACCAACACUUGACAUGUUCGUUUCGACUCUAAGAGAUUAGAGUUUUCGGUUCGGCCGGACGAAACACAGGUGCUGCAUGGCUGUCGUCAGCUCGUGUCGUGAGAUGUUGGGUUAAGUCCCGCAACGAGCGCAACCCUUACUUUUAGUUGCCACCAUUUAGUUGGGCACUCUGAAAGAACUGCCAGUGAUAAGCUGGAGGAAGGUGGGGAUGACGUCAAGUCCUCAUGGCCCUUAUGUGUUGGGCUACACACGUGCUACAAUGGCAUUUACAAUAGGAAGCAAGAUGGCGACAUUAAGCAAAUCCUAAAAAAAUGCCUCAGUUCGGAUUGUACUCUGCAACUCGAGUACAUGAAGCUGGAAUUACUAGUAAUCGCGGAUCAGCGCGCCGCGGUGAAUACGUUCCCGGGUCUUGUACACACCGCCCGUCACACCAUGGGAGUUGGUUCUACCUUAAGGCAAGGUUUAAUACCCUUGACCACGGUAUAGUCAGCGACUGGGGUGAAGUCGUAACAAGGUAGCCGUAGGGGAACCUGCGGCUG
This 1029-nucleotide ribosomal RNA is filed under the name marine metagenome. RNAcentral's name for it is "bacterial SSU rRNA". It matches the Rfam family "Bacterial small subunit ribosomal RNA", at positions 480 to 1520 of the family's 1533-position model. The record is from RNAcentral.